This is a non-coding RNA of Pelobates cultripes (western spadefoot toad), 284 nucleotides long. NCBI's taxonomy places the organism in Eukaryota, Metazoa, Chordata, Amphibia, Anura, Pelobatidae. The record is from the annotation of a GenBank genome assembly.
CAAACACGUAGUUGUAACCAGUUGGACACUCAGGAACAGAGGGGUUGAGGGCCCUGCUCAAUGAGCUUACAUGCUAGAGGGAGUGGGGUAAAGUGACACAAAAAGGUAAGGAUAGUAUUAGACUAACGACAGUUGCAAGAGAGAAAUCAUACAAUACACAAAUAAUAAAAGUAGGAAUCCACAUAUAUCACAAUGUACAGUUUUAAAAUGAAAUUUAACUAUUAAUCCUUGUAGAUAAUUGCAUUUAAAAUACAUAUCGUAGUGACUGUGUACAUCAUCAAUAC